Molecule: ribosomal RNA, 253 nt
Filed under: uncultured bacterium
Lineage: Bacteria
Description: partial 16S ribosomal RNA
Rfam family: Bacterial small subunit ribosomal RNA
Source: RNAcentral
UACGUAGGGCGCAAGCGUUGUCCGGAAUUAUUGGGCGUAAAGAGCUCGUAGGCGGCUUGUCACGUCGAUUGUGAAAGCCCGGGGCUUAACCCCGGGUCUGCAUUCGAUACGGGCAGGCUAGAGUGUGGUAGGGGAGAUCGGAAUUCCUGGUGUAGCGGUGAAAUGCGCAGAUAUCAGGAGGAACACCGGUGGCGAAGGCGGAUCUCUGGGCCAUUACCUACGCUUAGGAGCGAAAGCGUGGGGAGCGAACAGG